Molecule: ribosomal RNA, 253 nt
Filed under: uncultured bacterium
Lineage: Bacteria
Description: partial 16S ribosomal RNA
Rfam family: Bacterial small subunit ribosomal RNA
Source: RNAcentral
UACGUAGGGCGCGAGCGUUGUCCGGAAUUAUUGGGCGUAAAGGGCUCGUAGGCGGUUUGUCGCGUCGGGAGUGAAAUCCACUGGCUUAACUGGUGGCUUGCUUUCGAUACGGGCAGACUGGAGGUAUGCAGGGGAGAACGGAAUUCCUGGUGUAGCGGUGAAAUGCGCAGAUAUCAGGAGGAACACCGGUGGCGAAGGCGGUUCUCUGGGCAUGUCCUGACGCUGAGGAGCGAAAGUGUGGGGAGCGAACAGG